GUUGAUAAGGCCUCUGGUCAAACUAGGUCAUUCGUAGUUAAGUUUUGGGGCAGUAAGAAGUUAUCGGUAGCUUUUUGCGGAGAUCAGUGCCCCUAACCUCUGAACCCUGUUUAAGGGUCAACUAUGAUUGAGGACUUCCGGUGUUGGUAACCGCAGCGAACAGCACGGAGGGUGGGAGAGAAGUGAAGGAUCAGACAGCCCUCCCUGCUUACAGGGGCUUGUGUUGCGUUCUUUCUGCCUAUAACCUGCAACUAGAUGGUUCCUGUUGUCUAUGCCAGUUUCUCCGACCUUCCUUGUGUUUGGUGAUCCAGACAGUUUUGAAGAACACUGAUAAGGCGACCUCAACCAACCCGGAGUAAAUUUCACUUUGAACAAGCAUUAACGC
Molecule: long non-coding RNA, 385 nt
Filed under: Mustela putorius furo (domestic ferret)
Lineage: Eukaryota; Metazoa; Chordata; Mammalia; Carnivora; Mustelidae
Description: lncRNA (ENSMPUG00000030901.1)
Source: RNAcentral